Molecule: long non-coding RNA, 253 nt
Organism: Hyalella azteca
Lineage: Eukaryota; Metazoa; Arthropoda; Malacostraca; Amphipoda; Hyalellidae
Exons: 2
Source: RefSeq, a predicted model, not a curated record
AGGCACUACAAUGUGCUAGUGGAGUAACUAGUGCUGGAAACAUAGCGAAGAUGGGGGCAUCUGCUGAUUUGUUCAGCCCAACCUAAAAUCUUGAAUGUGAUACUACACAUCGAACUUCAUCAGCGCUCUUCAAGGAUGCUGUGAAACUUCAUCACCACCACUGCAUCCCCGCUACACAAGAUGCGGCGAAAUUGCAUCACCACUACUGCAUUAACGCUUCAGAAGAUGCAGCGAAACUGCAUCACCAAUACUG